Molecule: ribosomal RNA, 253 nt
Filed under: uncultured bacterium
Lineage: Bacteria
Description: partial 16S ribosomal RNA
Rfam family: Bacterial small subunit ribosomal RNA
Source: RNAcentral
UACGGGGGGGGCAAGCGUUGUUCGGAAUUACUGGGCGUAAAGGGCUCGUAGGCGGCCAACUAAGUCAGACGUGAAAUCCCUCGGCUUAACCUGGGAACUGCGUGUGAUACUGGAUGGCUUGAAUUCAGGAGAGGGAUGCAGAAUUCCAGGUGUAGCGGUGAAAUGCGUAGAUAUCUGGAGGAAUACCGGUGGCGAAGGCGGCAUCCUGGACCGACAUUGACGCUGAGGAGCGAAAGCUAGGGGAGCAAACGGG